This 464-nucleotide ribosomal RNA is filed under the name Vreelandella stevensii. RNAcentral describes it as "partial 16S ribosomal RNA". It matches the Rfam family "Bacterial small subunit ribosomal RNA", at positions 339 to 795 of the family's 1533-position model. Lineage: Bacteria; Pseudomonadati; Pseudomonadota; Gammaproteobacteria; Oceanospirillales; Halomonadaceae. The record is from RNAcentral.
CUACGGGUGGCAGCAGUGGGGAAUAUUGGACAAUGGGCGAAAGCCUGAUCCAGCCAUGCCGCGUGUGUGAAGAAGGCCUUCGGGUUGUAAAGCACUUUCAGUGGGGAAGAAAGCCUUAGGGCUAAUACCCUCGAGGAAGGACAUCACCCACAGAAGAAGCACCGGCUAACUCCGUGCCAGCAGCCGCGGUAAUACGGAGGGUGCGAGCGUUAAUCGGAAUUACUGGGCGUAAAGCGCGCGUAGGCGGUCUGAUAAGCCGGUUGUGAAAGCCCCGGGCUCAACCUGGGAACGGCAUCCGGAACUGUCAGGCUAGAGUGCAGGAGAGGAAGGUAGAAUUCCCGGUGUAGCGGUGAAAUGCGUAGAGAUCGGGAGGAAUACCAGUGGCGAAGGCGGCCUUCUGGACUGACACUGACGCUGAGGUGCGAAAGCGUGGGUAGCAAACAGGAUUAGAUACCCGGGUAGUC